CAGGCUUAGCACAUGCAAGUCGAGGGGCAGCAUGGUCUUAUCUUGCUAAGACUGAUGGCGACCGGCGCACGGGUGAGCAACACGUAUCCAACCUGCCGUCUACUCUUGGACAGCCUUCUGAAAGGAAGAUUAAUACAAGAUGGCAUCAUGAGUCCGCAUGUUCACAUGAUUAAAGGUAUUCCGGUAGACGAUGGGGAUGCGUUCCAUUAGAUAGUAGGCGGGGUAACGGCCCACCUAGUCUUCGAUGGAUAGGGGUUCUGAGAGGAAGGUCCCCCACAUUGGAACUGAGACACGGUCCAAACUCCUACGGGAGGCAGCAGUGAGGAAUAUUGGUCAAUGGGCGAGAGCCUGAACCAGCCAAGUAGCGUGAAGGAUGACUGCCCUAUGGGUUGUAAACUUCUUUUAUAAAGGAAUAAAGUCGGGUAUGCAUACCCGUUUGCAUGUACUUUAUGAAUAAGGAUCGGCUAACUCCGUGCCAGCAGCCGCGGUAAUACGGAGGAUCCGAGCGUUAUCCGGAUUUAUUGGGUUUAAAGGGAGCGUAGAUGGAUGUUUAAGUCAGUUGUGAAAGUUUGCGGCUCAACCGUAAAAUUGCAGUUGAUACUGGAUAUCUUGAGUGCAGUUGAGGCAGGCGGAAUUCGUGGUGUAGCGGUGAAAUGCUUAGAUAUCACGAAGAACUCCGAUUGCGAAGGCAGCCUGCUAAGCUGCAACUGACAUUGAGGCUCGAAAGUGUGGGUAUCAAACAGGAUUAGAUACCCUGGUAGUCCACACGGUAAACGAUGAAUACUCGCUGUUUGCGAUAUACUGCAAGCGGCCAAGCGAAAGCGUUAAGUAUUCCACCUGGGGAGUACGCCGGCAACGGUGAAACUCAAAGGAAUUGACGGGGGCCCGCACAAGCGGAGGAACAUGUGGUUUAAUUCGAUGAUACGCGAGGAACCUUACCCGGGCUUAAAUUGCAGAUGAAUUACGGUGAAAGCCGUAAGCCGCAAGGCAUCUGUGAAGGUGCUGCAUGUUUGUCGUCAGCUCGUGCCGUGAGGUGUCGGCUUAAGUGCCAUAACGAGCGCAACCCUUGUUGUCAGUUACUAACAGGUUCCGCUGAGGACUCUGACAAGACUGCCAUCGUAAGAUGUGAGGAAGGUGGGGAUGACGUCAAAUCAGCACGGCCCUUACGUCCGGGGCUACACACGUGUUACAAUGGGGGGUACAGAGGGCCGCUACCACGCGAGUGGAUGCCAAUCCCCAAAACCUCUCUCAGUUCGGACUGGAGUCUGCAACCCGACUCCACGAAGCUGGAUUCGCUAGUAAUCGCGCAUCAGCCACGGCGCGGUGAAUACGUUCCCGGGCCUUGUACACACCGCCCGUCAAGCCAUGGGAGCCGGGGGUACCUGAAGUGCGUAACCGCGAGGAGCGCCCUAGGGUAAAACUGGUGACUGGGGC
Molecule: ribosomal RNA, 1434 nt
Filed under: uncultured organism
Description: 16S ribosomal RNA
Rfam family: Bacterial small subunit ribosomal RNA
Source: RNAcentral